RNAcentral lists this ribosomal RNA (50 nucleotides) under Buellia frigida. RNAcentral's name for it is "partial 28S ribosomal RNA". The record is from RNAcentral. Lineage: Eukaryota; Fungi; Ascomycota; Lecanoromycetes; Caliciales; Caliciaceae.
GACCUCGGAUCAGGUAGGGAUACCCGCUGAACUUAAGCAUAUCAAUAACG